This 990-nucleotide long non-coding RNA is filed under the name Aquilegia coerulea. RNAcentral describes it as "long non-coding RNA (ACOE_LNC001256)". Lineage: Eukaryota; Viridiplantae; Streptophyta; Magnoliopsida; Ranunculales; Ranunculaceae. The record is from RNAcentral.
UUUACAACAUAAAUGAUUGAUCAGGCAAGAAUUCAAAGACACGAUCCUUGUGCAGCUGAUGAAGAUUCAGCUUCAGCUGAGCAAUUUGAUCCUUCUCUAACUUGCUCCACUUGGACUUCAGCUGCACAACAGUUUCCAUUCCCAUACGAACAAUUCCAGCGGAGAAUGCUGGAUAUUUCUUCAUCACAGAAACUAAAAGAAAAAAAUAUUUACAAACAUAAUCAUUCAAACACAAACCAACAAUCUAAACAAGAUUAAUAGAAAGACAAACACUUACCGAUACAUGCAGAAUCAGGAUAGCAUUCCAACCACUUAACAAUACUGGUUGUACAGUUGUCACAUUCAGCUGGAUUAACAGUAUAUUUAGAUGCUUUUCAAUCCCAAAACUACAGAAGAAAAAAAACAUACACGGAUUGGUACAGUAGCAGAGGCUGGAAGUGACAUCGGAGUCACUUAAUAAAGCCUACAAAACUCAAGAAAUGAAUCACUAACAAGCCACAACAUAAAGAACGAAAUAUGAACAAAACAUAAAUAAGUAAAACAUCCAAACCCAGUACAGUUGAAACCUUCAAUUUAAAACGAACAUUCAUCAGCAUUAAAAUCCAAAAUCAUUAGAAUCCAAAAAUAAUUAGAUAUUUAACAAGUUCCUCACAAAAAAAUACCUGAGUAGACUUUUCUUCAGAUGAGGAUUUCACAAUUGUUACUAUCUGCAAAAAUGAAAUAUUUAGAAAAAUCUAAACUUAAAUAUAAAUGACGAAACAGUAAACUACCUUGUCCUUCGUGCAUUUCUUCUUCGUAGCAGCAGCACAAGUAGCCAGUUUAUCCUUCAAACAAUUAUAAUACCAGUUUCAGUUUGAAGAUAUUUACAUAAAAGAAAUAACAUCAAAUAACAUCAUGUUCUUAAUUAAAGAGAUCUACACGGACAGCCAAACCUUGGGAUCAAAAUCAAUCCCUGGCUUAUCUUCUGAACAAGAAAUCUGACAUCUCACU